UUUCUGUCAGUGUGUGUGUGUCAAAAUCCCAAAAAAUCGACGGAAGAAUUCCGGAAAGAGAACGCAAAAAUAAAGUGAAAUACUUUAAACUUUAAUUUUAGGACCAGCAUCUUUGCUUGUUAAUCAUUUACUGGUACAAUAUUUAAAUACCAGCUUUGAGAUUAUGGAGAGCAGUGGAGCUGUUGGUCGCCGUCGAUGCAAUUCACGCAUAAAUGCUGAAGAUCAGGCAUUGGAUCAAAUUGCAAAAGAG
Molecule: long non-coding RNA, 250 nt
Organism: Rhagoletis pomonella (apple maggot)
Lineage: Eukaryota; Metazoa; Arthropoda; Insecta; Diptera; Tephritidae
Exons: 2
Source: RefSeq, a predicted model, not a curated record